CCUACGGGAGGCAGCAGUGGGGAAUUUUGGACAAUGGGCGCAAGCCUGAUCCAGCCAUGCCGCGUGCGGGAAGAAGGCCUUCGGGUUGUAAACCGCUUUUGUCAGGGAAGAAAUCCUUUGAGUUAAUACCUCGGAGGGAUGACGGUACCUGAAGAAUAAGCACCGGCUAACUACGUGCCAGCAGCCGCGGUAAUACGUAGGGUGCGAGCGUUAAUCGGAAUUACUGGGCGUAAAGCGUGCGCAGGCGGUCUUGCAAGACAGAUGUGAAAUCCCCGGGCUCAACCUGGGAACUGCAUUUGUGACUGCAAGGCUAGAGUACGGUAGAGGGGGAUGGAAUUCCGCGUGUAGCAGUGAAAUGCGUAGAUAUGCGGAGGAACACCGAUGGCGAAGGCAAUCCCCUGGACCUGUACUGACGCUCAUGCACGAAAGCGUGGGGAGCAAACAGGAUUAGAUACCCUGGUAGUCCACGCCCUAAACGAUGUCAACUGGUUGUUGGACGGCUUGCUGUUCAGUAACGAAGCUAACGCGUGAAGUUGACCGCCUGGGGAGUAACGGCCGCAAGGUUGAAACUUAAAGGAAAUUGACGGCGNGNGAGNGCGAGACGACGACGAGGGAGAGG
This 619-nucleotide ribosomal RNA is filed under the name uncultured bacterium. RNAcentral's name for it is "bacterial SSU rRNA". It matches the Rfam family "Bacterial small subunit ribosomal RNA", at positions 338 to 947 of the family's 1533-position model. The record is from RNAcentral.